UCAAAUUUUGUGACUGGGAUGCCGAGGAUCACAAAACAAGGUGUGAAUAACCAUACCAAUUCACUUGGUACCCUUAAUAUUAUCACCUAAUCAAUGUGCCGGUUAACCACACACGCUCCAUUGAUCUAUGACAAACAUUAAGUCACCCUUCGUGAUCCUUACUAGUCCAAGUUAGUGUGCCGGUUAACCACACACGCUCCACCAACGACUUGGUAAGGUACAAAGUGUGAAUUCCAUGGGCUAGCACCAAAUUCACAUUUUUCCUAAAGUAACUAAGAUUGGGAAUUAAAUAAAAAAAUAUUUAGUUACUUUAUAAUAAUCGAUAUACUUUUAAUGAGAAUUUAAAGUCAUUGUCGUACCCGUUCGGCUAACGACCCUCCACCGGUCAAGCAAGCGGUGGGUGAGAGUGGACACCCAUUAAGUCGCCAUUUUAUAGGCAACAACCUUAUACCCACCUUAUAGACCGGCUUCGUGAAUGAGGCCUACUAACGGUAAAACGACUUGUUCUUAUACAUAUAUAUAAUAAUUAACCAUUAAUGUUAUAAAUAGUAUAAGUGUUGAAUUUUAACUUUUAAAACUCUAAGUGUUGGAAUUAAAGUUUAUUAAAGUGUGUGAAACUUUUCCAAAUUCCAAAACUUGAGGGCAAGUUUUGAAACUAUUCAAAACUAAUUAAUUCCAUGAUUUAUGUGUUUAAAGUAGUUUUAAUCCAAAAACUCUUCAAGUUCCAUAACUUGAGGACAAGUUAUGGAAGACUUUAAACUAAUAAAAGAAUUACUUUUCUUUAUUUUAUAACUUAUGGAAUUAAUUAAGGUUACACUUUAUUUAUAUAUUUAUUAAUGAAGUGACUCUUGAACCUCCAUAACUUAAGGACAAGACUCUUCAUCUUUUGUAACCAUCCAAGACUUUUCAUUUCAUAACUUAUGAAUUAAAGGUUCAUAAAAAUGAAGACUCUUCAUUUUCAUGUAACUUAUGUGUUUUAAGUGUGUGUUAAAUAAAAGUGACCUUUGGAUAUCCAUAACUUGAGGACAAAUUAUGGACUCCAUUAAAACACAUAAAUGAUCAAGAAUUAAUUCUAAACAAUUCAGCAAAUAAUUCCUAUCAUCUUCUAAAUUCAUAAGAACAUGAACAUGAUCAUCAAAAUUUCAAGAAUUAUAUGAACACAUAAAAACAUGGAAUUUUGAUAUAUGCUAUUGUAAAUGGAUUAGAACAACCAUUACACCAACUAAAACAAGUUUUAAAACACCAAAACAGUUUAGGGUAAUGUUUCUAGUCCAUUUCCAGCAGCAAAAGUCGAAAUUCUGCAUUCUGAUCAUUCUACUCGCCGAGUGCACGAACCUACUCGCCGAGUAGGAUGAAUUUUGCCUUGAACUCGGCGAGUCCCCCCAUGGACUCGGCGAGUCCAUCAGCCAGACAGCAACAAUUUCAACUUUUUUCACUAUUUUGCAUCAAGUAUCAAACAAGCAAGCCUAGGCUCUGAUACCACUGUUGGGUUUUGAGCAAUCUAACACUUCCUAAGUGUGCAUGCAACCCUAAUAAACCUUGGAUCUAUGUUUGUCUAAAUACAUGCAAAAUAAUAAUUUUCCAAGGUUUAUAACCUAUCUAACAUGGCAUGGGGAACAUUUCAACAUAAAAGAGUUAGAAGAGAUUACAUACCUUUGUUGUGUUGGGUUCUUAGGAGUUUGAGGGCCAAGCACCAAUAGUGUGAAUGCCUCAAAUGGAAUCACAAAUCACCACAAACUCUUGGAAAACUUUGAGAGAGUGUAUACACACUUAUAAAAUCGGUCACACACAAACACACAUACUUUCUAGUUACACUAGUUACACUAGUGGCUAUUUCAUGCAACAUAAGCAUGCUUAUAUAGUGUACAUGAUUAGGGUGAAACCCUAAUAACCCAUGUCUUUUCCUUUCCAAGGAUCCAUGGGUUAAAAGCUCCAUGGAUCAUCCAUGGACUUCAAUAUAAGCCUAGCCCAUUAACAAAUGAGUGUUAGCCCACACUAUAUAAAACCAAUAGCCCAUAAUCUAAUUAGUCUUCCUUUUAAUCUCUAAAUUAAUUCAUAAUUAAUUUAAGACUAAGACUAAUUAAAUAACAUGACUUCAUAUUAAUAUAUUAUAACUUAUAAUAUAUUAAUAAACAUAUGUGUAUAACUCUCAUAAAAUUAUCCAUAAAUAGUUCGGGUGAGAUGCAACCAAAAUGGACCAAGCCGGGUCGGGUCAGGUAUAUACCAAAUAAGUUAUGGACUUAGACACCUUAUCCAACACAACCAUCCUAAACAGGAUGAACUCUAACAUAGCAAUGGCAUAACACCCAUCCUAAGGAGGAUGAAAUCUAACAUGGCAAUAGCAAAGAAACCAUCCUAAACCAAGAUGUAAAUCAUAAAGGCCCUGCCUUGGGUCCAUAAAACCUAUCAAUAUAGUGAGGAUAACUCACCUCGCAGAUGUCAAUUCGAAAGACAAACUCCAACUAUCGUAUCACUUGACACCGACUCUAACACCUAUAACCAUAGCACAAUAUACACAUAUGUCCUUUCUCUUAUGAGACACCCCAUAACCUUUUAGUAAAUUCCUAAUCAAGGUCAAAGUCCUCGGUGAAGGUCAAUAGUCCAUGUUGACCUCAACUCGCCGAGUACACUCGGCCACUACUCGAGUCCAUGGAGCACAUUCCAACUCGCCGAGUCAUCGGAGUGACUCGUCGAGUUCCUUCGAAUCCCGAUCAAUCCUUAAGGCCACCCGUCGAGUUUCCUCCUUGCAACUCGACGGGCACACACGCAACCAUAUCCUUGGUUAAACUCAUCCGACUCGCUGAGUUGUUCUUUAACUAAUCAAGUUUCAUGGCCAUCUUCAUCUAACUCACCGAGUUGUUCAAACAACUCAUCGAGUUCACAGCUUCCUUUAUCUGAAUCACCGAGUUGUUCAUCCAACUCGUCGAGACCAAUGCACAUCUUCAUAUGACUCGCCGAGUCGGCUGCGCGGCUCACCAAAUCCUUACAAACAUUUUAACAUGAAAACGUCUUUAAGCCAUGGCAAGGCCCCAAAUUGCAGAUCCAACUUCCUUAGGCUUGUUUAUCACGUAAACUUGCAAAAUUUAUGUGCAUGCAUUUCUUCAUAAGCUCCUAAUGCCAAAACCAAACUUUUAAUGGGUGUUCAUGGACCAAGGGAACCUUAAUCUUGCCUAAAGUUGGAACUUUAUGCUUGAAUGCUCCAAAGAGGGUCCAGAUCUGAAGUUACUACUUUAGAUCUAGCCGAUAGAUUGCCAUACCAACUUGAUACCCUCUUAAAACCCUUAAACUCAUUAAAAGAUAAGGUCUAGACUGAAAUAACCGAGGGUAAUGGUCUAAUACCUUCCCAAGAGAUGUCCACAGCAGAAGAAUUCGGAUCUCUUCCUAGCUCCUUUCCCUAAACACUUGUUUUCCGCAAAAUUUUACACCAAAAUCUUCUCUCAAAGCUUCAACACACAAGGCACACACACACAUGAGUUAGAGAUGCAAAGGGGGCUGCCAAGGAACUGAAAGAGGCUUGAGCUUCUUUAAGUAGGGGUGCAACCCCGGGAAUUAGGGCUUCACUUUCCAGCUCCUACUCGUCGUGUCCCACAAGGACUCGCCGAGUAAAUCACUUAACUCGCUAUCCAACCCGCUGCUACUCGACGAGUAGGGCAACCAACUCAUCGAGUAGGGCCAAAACCCAAAAAUAUUAUAUUUAAAGUACUACCUGAGAGUCGGGGCGCUACAUUGUAGUAGUGGCAUGAUUUUUCUUCAUCCCCAAUUUAACAGUUUGCAACAAAUAAUAGAGCUCAUUCAAUGUCGUAUAUGUAUUAUUCAAAUGAUAAGUAAGAAUAAACUAAUAAUAACUAGGAGGCAAUGAGUUCUAGACCAUAUCAAUAGCCAGCUGAUCAUCAAACAUCACAUUUAGCCUGUGGAGUUCCUCCAUGUACCUUUCCAUCUUUUGUUUGCGAGGGUAAACUGAUUCUCUUUCCUUGAGCUUGCAUGCCAUAAGAGAUUUGACCACUUCAUAAUGCUCUUGUCUCGCCUUCUUGUAGAACUUUCUGGCAAGGUCGAGAGCCAUCUCGUAUGGCCAAUAGUCCUCAUAGAACUUGGCCAGCUCAAGUGCCAUAGUAGCCACCAUGAUGCAAGCAACCUUAGUGUUAUCAUCAGAUUGUUUGUUGUAGGAAACGGUUUCCUUAGGAGCAACGGUAGAGUGUUCGAUAUUGAAAAGGGGUUUUUCGAGGAUAUAUUGUUUGCCCUCAUAUUGAAGAUUCAUCUUCAAGUUCGUCAUCCAAUCCAUGUAGUUGGGACUAGUGAGCAUCUCUUUUGACAAAAUUGAGGGUAGAGAGAAGUUUAAGUUGGAGGAGCCGACUUAAGUAGUAGCAAGUUCAUCGUUUCCAGACAUCUAUAUAAAAAGACAUAGUUUUUAGUUACUGAUAUAUAUCCUUAAUAUUUUAACCAAUAAUAAAUAUUCAAGUCUAAGAUCCAAAAUACAAUUGACAACAAAGAAAAGUGAUGUCGUAAUAUAAUUGUGAAUUUAUCAUGAUAGGUAAUCCAAAUUUACCAACUUCAAUCUAGCAUGAAAGUCCUAUAUCGUUUGAAUUCAUUGAAUCUUAUCAAUGACAUGUUUAAUCUCAAAUUAUGCUCUUCAAAUUUGUAACUCCAAUGCCGAGGAUCUCAAAUAAGAUGUGUUUAACCAUGCAAACCUGCCUGACAACCACGAUGUCAUUUAUCAUCUCAGAUUAAUGUGAUGGUAAACCACAAACAAUGAUAAUUUUCAAUUUGUCCAUCACUCAACUUUAACAUAAUCACAAUUUUAAUAGGUUAUGACCUAUCAAAUCCGUUCAGCUAACGACUCUCCAAAAUACAAGGGAGCGGUGGGUUAGAGUGGACACCCAAUGACGGUCAUUUUAUAGGCCGCUUCAUUAUACCCACCUUAUAGUAUGGCUUCGUGAAUGAGGCGUACUAGCGACUUGACUGACUUGUCUUAUACAUAUAAUAUAUUAAACUUUUAAUCAUAUAUAUAGUGUAAUGUGUAUUUUAAAACUUUUCAAAAUACUUGGUUUAAAAUAAAUCUUACGAAUUAAACAAUUAAUAAUAAUUAAUUUUAAACCAAAUAAUGAUUUAAUCUUUUAUCUUAAUUAAACAAUUAAUUAAACAAAUUUAAAUCAUAUUACUUACUAAUUAACAAUUAAUUAAAUAACUUAAAUUUAAACACAUGGAUUAAAUAAUUAUUUACCAAUUAAACAAUUCAUUAACUAAUUCAAAUUUAAUCCUAAACCCUUAUCUUUCUAAUUUUCAAAAAAGGGUAGGGUUUAUCAGGUUUUUAAUCAUUAAAAUAUUCAACCAUAUUAAAAUAAUAUUUCAGUAAAGUAGAAAAUCCUAGAGAUAUAUACACAAUUUCGAAAAUAAGGGGAUGGUGGCUAGAGUUUCAACCCUAGCCAAGUUGAAAUCAUAUUACUUACCAAUUAACAAUUAAGUAAAUAAUUUAAAUUUAAACACAUGGAAUAAAUAAUUAUUUACCAAUUAAACAAUUCAUUAACUAAUUUAAAUUUAAUCCUAAACCCUUAUCUUUCUAAUUUUCGAAAAAGGGUAGGGUUUAUCAGGUUUAAUUAUUAAAAUUUUAAAUCAUAUUAAAAUAAUAUUUAAGUAAAGUAGAAAAUCCUAGAGAUAUAUACACAAUUUCGAAAAUAAGGGGAUGGUGGCUAGAGUUUUAAAAAACCCUAGCCAAGUUGAAAUUUAUGCCUUUAGGGUUUAAUUUCCAUAAACCCUAAUUUUGAUCAAUUCAUAUUGGUGCAUAAUCAAAUAGAAAACUAUGUCUCUGAUACCGCUGAUGGAUUUUCUAGGUUAUAGAAAAGUACAUGUGGCGGCAACACUCUUAAACCCUUAUGUUCACAUGCAACCUAGAAAGGAUCUAUGAUUUCUCUAUUGAUAGAAACUAACUAUGAACAACAAGAAACCAUAGGAGAGAGCCCAUGAAAUCAAAAUUCAUAUUUAGAUUAGGGUUAAGUACCUUAUGAUUAUUAUUGAAAAUAAUCAAAGUAGAAUCCUUCUUCAAGACCUUGAAAAGCUAGCACCAAAGUUAUGGUACCUCAAAUGGCUUGUACCUAAAACGAUAAUAGCUAGAAGAGUUGAGGAUAGACGAGGCUUGAGCAAAAUUCUGGCUCUUGUAAGAGUGGAUGGAGAGGACGAAAAUGGGAUCCAUAAGGAUUCUAUUUAUAGGCUGUAGGAAAACGCUAGAAACCCGAAUUUGAAUCAAAUAAUAAUAUUUCAAAAUUCAAAUCGCUUAUCUAGAUCCUAAUCUAAAGGUAGCUUCCAGAAACCCUUUCUAUGGUUCUUCCAAAACCAUCUCUAUGGGAAAUGUUUUGGAAGCCUUCCUUUGUUCAACUUUUGAACAAUAACAACCCAAGUACGUGCACUUUUAAUUAGAGAUGGCAAUCGUGUCGGAUUCGUGUCGUGUUGAAACACUAAACGGGUUAAAAGUGUUUGACCCUAACCCAACCCAUUUAAUUAACGUGUCGUGUCGUGUCAACCCGUUUAUUUUCGCGUCGAGUUCGUGUUGGGUUUCGGGUUAGGGCUAUAUUGAAAUAUGUUGUGUAAUGUGAGGUUAAAAGAUUGAGCAUGUUAAAAGAGUAGGAGUUGGGUAGGCGGAAAGGAAAAACUAAUAGUUUGGAGGCAGAAUAGAUGGAUUCAUAGCAAGUUCAGAUGACAAAAUUAAAAGAGUGGGAGUUGGGAAGGCGGAUGACAAGGUCAUGAGGAUGUGAGAGUGGUGAAAGAGACUGAGUAGUUUGGGAAAUAAUUGAAAAACUGAAAUGAAGUCUUGAUCUAGACGGCUAAGUCAUUUCAACAUUGCAAAACAAUUUGAGUUCAAAUUCUCAACGCUAACCUUACCCAUUUAAUUCCUGUGUCCUAUCGUGUCAACCCAUUAAUUUAAACGAGUUGAAAUAUCUUACCCAAACCCUUUUAAUUCAUGUCGGGUUUCGUGUCGUGUCAAUUUUUGUCACCUCUACUUUUAAUUAAUUCGAUUAAUCCUGAAAUUAAUUCCAAUUAAUUUCUUAUUAAUUCCAAAUUAACUAUUAUUAUUUCAAAUAAAUAUAUUAAUCAUAUAAUAUAUUAAUAAAUAAUUUUUACAAUAUGUUAAAAAAUCAACAUCUUCCUCUAAAAGUCAUUAUAUCAAAAUACUAGUUUCGAGGGCAAACCAAAAAGGACUUUGCUUCUAAUUCAAGAAUNUUUUUUAUUCAAUAAUUGGUCUCAUGUAUUUAAUCACACGUGAUUAUAUAUAUUUAAUCAUAUAUGAUUAAACCAUGUUAUUCACAUAUGGCUAAAUUUAUCAUAUGUGAUUACAAUUUUUUAUCCACAUGUAAAUAUACACAUAACAAAUGCUUUUAUUUUUUAAUAAUUUUUCUUAUUUUAUGUGUUUAAUCACAUGUGAUUAUAUAUAUAUAUAUAUAUAUAUAAUCAUAUAUGGUUAUACUUCUUUUGUAACAUGCAAUCCAGGUAUAAAAUCAUUUUUAUAUACUUUGACUUUUAAUAGGGAGACCACGUCGUUGUGCAGCGUUACCUUGACGUUGGGGAACGCUUUGGAUUCACCAAAUUUUAAUGACCCGCCACAGCGUUGUCAUGAGGAACAACGACGUGGUAGGAGUUUGAAAACCCUAAUUUUGUGUCUUAGACCCUAUAUAAGGAACAUUAAGCUUAGGGUUUCAACCUACAUCUUUCUCCCAACCUCAGAAACCCUAACCAAAGCCUCCAUUAAAUUUAUGAGCUCAUUCUUGCUUCUUUUCAAUGAUUUUAGAAGGAGAAGGAAGCUUUUUGUGAGGUGGUUACUUGGCAAGCAUUAUUUCAUCAGCUAAGCUUAUCUCUUGGACCUUGGUGAGUGCCUAAGACUCAACCUUUUAUUGCCAUGUUGCUAGAUUUCUUGUCUUUGUCCGCUUUUUAGAUGAUUUAGAUGGACUUAAGUAAUAGGAUCUCAAAAAGUUUGCAACUUUAUGAAUAUCUAUGUCAAAUUGAGCAAUUAGUGUCUUAGAUCUGGAUUAUAAUCACGUUUUGGUGCUAAGCAUGGGAUUUUAUUCAUUAAAACCUAUUUUUACCUACAAUGGAAAAGGCGUGUAGUGGACAUGCAAGUCUGUAAAGCAACGAUUUUUAAGGUUAAUUUGGAGUGUGAAACCAUUCUGGACACUUUAGAUGUGAAACUCUAAGGAUUUGGUGCUUAAUGAGAAUCCUGAUGUAUUAAGUCUCCAUUAGUGGUUGGGUUUGGGAUUUUGGAAACUUCACCCAUCAAGACCAUGAGAAGGACCAGUGUCACACCCCCAAACCAGAAUGGCGGAAACAUUCAGGGGUGGAUGACUUCACGUAGUACCAUAACAAUUGAAUAUUGUAAAGAAAGUAACACAACCAUCAUAUAUAGAAUAAAAACGUACAUUGUUGCAUUAUACAUGAUUCCAAAAGAAUAUUACAAUAUGAUGAUGUAAAAUGUUUAAUAAUAAACGCCCUUAGCAUUCCUUCUUCAAAAGCUGGUAGUUACCUGUAUUACUGAUUCCCUGAGAAAUACAAGUGGUUUCGAAAAAGUGUCAACAAUAAAGUUGGUGAGUUCAUAAGUGUUUUGUAUUGAAAAUAAUGUCUUUAUGGAAGAAAAUCGAUGAACGUGGUUUUCAAAAAAUCUAAUAUUUUCCCUAUAUAGUCUGAAAAGUUCCCAAAGUUGGAGGGCGUUAGUAUCUUUCGUAAUUGAACGCUAAAGAUAAGUUUGUACUCAAAAUUAUGUAAAUACUGAAUGCAUGUAUGAAUCUCAUAAAUCAAGCUUGUUUUUAUACUUUCGUGUGAGUCUUAUAACCAUACUAUUGACACAGACUGCCUGUAACAACAUUCUUCAGGUGUUGUAUUGUUAUGACAUUUGUCACCACAGACCUGCCGGUCUAACUGUAGCUAACAGUUUAGGUGUGGGGUUAUCAAUCCUGUAUAGAUCUAUACACAAGUAUCACGCUCUCCCUCCAAGAGAUUAUGGCUUAUAAUACAGGACUUGAAAUGCAUACAUAAAAGUACGUUGAAGUUUGAAUAUCUCACAUCACUUGGUAUAAAUAGAUUUACGAUAACUUUGCGUACUACCGGAGUACGCUAGACGUACUUCGGUUACGCUGGGCGUAAGUUUGCGUCAUGGCUUACAAUUCGAGUCUAGCUAGGCGUAGAGCUGCAGCCGAUGGGACUCGAACCUGCACCUGAGUACGCUGGGCGUACUCCUGAAUUACGUUGGGCGUAAUCCUGGCUUCCAUCUUCUAAAUUCCGUAACUUUCGCGUACGGGCUCCGUUUUUCGCAUUCUUUAUAUCCACGCGUAGGUGGGAUUAUGCUCUACAACUUUCAUUUAGACUCCGUCGGCUAGUUUUGACUUUAUUUUUAAUGCUAUGUUUUUAAUAGGCCGGGACUGCUAAAGUCCGUUAAAAAGUCAUAUUUUCUUUAUCCGACGUCGGUUCUCGUUUGUCUUUUUAUCAUAUUGCUCCUAUUGUGGAGACCUUUAACUUUCGUUUAGGUUGUGUUAGCUAAAUAUCGCUCGAUCUUUAAUUCGAGUUUUUAGCUCUCUACUACUGUUACGAAACUUAGAAAAUUCGUAACUUGUUCAUACAAGGUCCAAUUUGGGCGAUCUUUUUAUGUACGUUUACAGUUUAACGAACUCUACAACUUAUGUUUAGAUACUUAAGGCUAAAAUAUAUUUUAUUGGAAUUUCACUUUUUAUGUUAAAUAGUGUUUUACCGGGUGUGUCGUAAAUAUUUGAGUGGUUAUAGUUUCUUCAAUAUAACCUGAUUUCGAAUGUUUUUUUAUGUUUUUGGAAACCUUGGCACGAUAUCUAACAUUUGAUGCAUCCCAAUUUAGAUAUUUUGAGCACUCUUUUUUUUGAGGUUAAUUUCGUUGAUUCCAAAUAGUUUUCGUUGUAUUUGACUUUUGAGUAUUACAUUGUUUUUGGAAAAAUAUAGGGUUGUCACAUCAUCCCCCCGUUAGAGGAAUUUCAUCCCGAAAUUUAAUCUAAGACUGAGUUUUCAGGUUAGGGAAGAGAUACGGGUACUUUUAUUUCAUCUGAUCCUCGCGUUCCCAGGUGUAUUCAGGUCCUCGCUUGGCCCUCAAUCGGACCUUUACAAUAGGUAUGCGGCUUUGUUUAGUCCUUUUAAUUUCCCGAUCCAUGAUCUCUACUGGUUCUUCUACGAAUUGGAGAUUCUCAUUUAUUGCAAUUUCGUCCAGAGGGAUGACAAGGGUCUCAUCGGACAAGCACUUCUUUAGGUUUGAUACGUGAAAGGUAGAGUGUACGUUGUGGAGUUCCUGGGGUAAUUGAAGUUUGUAAGCCACCGGACCGGUCCUGGCAAGGAUCUCGAAUGGUCCAAUGUAUCUUGGGUUCAGUUUCCCACGCUUUCCGAAACGUAUUAACCCUUUCCAGGGCGAGACUUUUAGUAGGACACGGUCUCCAACCUGGAAUUCCAAGGGUUUCCGUCUUUUAUCCGCAUAACUCUUUUGUCUGUCCCUUGAUGCUUUCGGUCAUUCCAGGAUCUGAAAAAUCUUCUCCGUAUUUUCCCUUAUGAUUUCUGGCCCAGUGAGCGUGUUGUCUGUUGCUUGUCUUUUUUCUAGUUGUGUGUCCCCCACUUCAGCCCAUCACAGAGGUGAUAUGCAUUUACGGCCGUAGAGGGCUUCAAACGGGGCAACCUUGAUGCUAGUGUGGUAGCUAUUGUUGUACGAAAACUCGACCAAGGGUAGGUGGGUGUCCCAUGCUUUGCCAAAAUCGAUUACGCAAGAUCUCAACAUAUCCUCUAGGGUUUGUAUGGUUCUCUCACUCUGGCCGUCAGUUUGUGGGUGAUAAGCAGUACUCAUGUCUAGUCUUGUUCCUAGAGAUUUUUGCAGCGACUGCCAAAACCUUGAGGUGAAUCUACUAUCUCGGUCUGAGAUAAUGGAUAUGGGCACACCAUGCAGUCGUACGAUCUCUCUGAGGUAUGUUCUAGUUAGUUUCUCUAAUUUAUCCGUUUCUUUGAUUGGUAGGAAGUGCGCUGAUUUAGUUAACCUGUUGACGAUCACCCAAAUGAUGUUGAGUCCGCUUGCUGUCUUGGGUAAUUUGGUUAUGAAAUCCAUGGUUAUCUGCUCCUACUUCCAUUCGGGUAUUUCUGGUUAUUGCAACAAUCCCGAGGGCUUUUGGUAUUCAACCUUGACUUUGGCACACGUCAGACAUUUGCUUACGUAGGUAGCAAUGUCGGCUUUCAUGUUCGGCCACCAGUACAGUUUCUUGAGGUCGAGAUACAUCUUAUCCGAGCCAGGAUGUAUGGAGUAUCAUGUCUUAUGGGCUUCGUUCAUAAUGACUUCUUUGAAUCCGCCAAACUUCGGUGUCCAGAUCCGAUCCAUGAAGUAACGAACUCCAUCAUUCUUGACUUCAAGCUUCUUAUCCAUUCCCCUUAAUGCUUCCCCUGUCACAUUUUCAGAUUUUGAGGCUUCUACUUGGGCUUCCCUGAUUUGUGUGGACAUGUGUGAAUGGAUUAUCAUAGUUAGAGACUUCACUCUACGGCCCGAGUAUUCCUUCCGGCUGAGUGCAUCGGCCACCACGUUAGCCUUUCCGGGAUGAUAUCGAAUUUUGCAUUCGUAAUCGUUUAGUAGUUCUACCCACCGUCUUUGUCUCAUGUUGAGUUCUUUCUGGUUGAGGAUAUGCUGGAGGCUCUUAUGAUCGGUGAAGACUGUACAUUUCGUGCCGUAGAGAUAGUGUCUCCAUAUCUUUAGAGCGAAAACGACUGCUCCUAACNUGACUGCUCCUAGCUCGAGAUCGUGCGUCGUGUAGUUUACUUCGUGCGUCUUUAGUUGUCUUGAGGCGUAGGCGAUGACCUUCCCUCGUUGCAUCAGGACACACCCAAGUCCUUGGUUUGACGCAUCACAAUAGACCACGAAGUCUUCUAUUCCUUCUGGUAAGGUUAGAAUGGCGCACUACAUAAGGCUCGCUUUAGUGUUUGAAACGCGAUGUCAUGUUUUUCUUUCCAGUCGAAGGUCAUGCUCUUCUGAGUUAGGGUGGUAAGUGGCUUAGCAAUCUUCGAAAAGUUUUGUAUGAACCUUCGGUAAUAUCCGGCGAGUCCCAAAAAAUUUUGUUGGGGUUCUUGGGAUCGUCCAAUUCUCUAUUGCCUUGAUCUUAGAAGGAUCCACAUGUACCCCUUCUUUGCUUACUACGUGACCUAGGAAAUCUACUUCCCGAAUCCAAUACUCACACUUUGAAAAUUGUGCGUAUAGCUUUUCUACCCUCAAUGUUUCCAAGACUUGGUAGAGGUGUUGGCUGUGUUCUUUCGUGCUUUUUGAAUAGAUGAGUAUGUCAUCUAUGAACACGAUCACGAAUAUAUCUAGGAAGGGACGACAUACCCGGUUCAUCAAGUCCAUGAAUACUGCUGGUGCAUUUGUCAAACCAAAGGGCAUAACUACAAAGUCAUAGUGACCGUAGCGUGUUCGGAAUGCCGUUUUGGGGAUGUCUCCUUCUAGCACUCGUAGUUGGUGAUAACCGGAUCUUAGAUCGAUUUUUGAGAAGUAGCUUGCUCCCUGUAGUUGAUCGAACAAGUCGCCUAUGUGCGGCAGGGGAUAUCGGUUCUUGAUCGUGAGUUUGUUCAGUUCCCAAUAAUCGAUGCACAUGUGAAAGGAUCCGUCCUUCUUCUUCACGAAUAUGACCGGUGCUCCCCAUGGUGAGAAGCUCGGUCUGAUGAUGCCCUUGCUCAGCAGCUCGUUUAAUUGACUGGACAGUUCCUGCAUCUCGGCUGGGGCUAGACGGUAAGGCGACUUUGCUACUGGAGUAGCUCCGGGGAUUAUGUCGAUUCUGAACUCGACUUGGCGUUCUAGUGGGAUUCCUGGGAGAUCUUAUGGGAUGAUGUCUGGGAAGUUGCAGACUUCCGGAAUGUCUUUAAAGUUCUUCGGUUCUGGUUUCUGGUCUACUACGUGGUCUAGAAAGGCAUGAUAUUCUUUGCGAAGAUAUUUUCAUGCUUUAACACAGGAGAUGAUUUGUAAAUUUGUACUAGGUUUGUCACCAUAAAUGACAAGAGUUUCACCGUUUGGCAGAUUGAGGCGAACGACCCUUUCGUGAAAAAGUAUAUCGGCAUGGUGAAGACUUAACCAAUCCAUACCGAUGAUGACAUCAAAACUUCUUAUCGAAAUGCGCAUAAGAUUGAUUUGAAAUAAGUGCUCGUUUAAAUUUAAUGUGCACCCUACGUACAUAUCGCUUGCGCUUUCUGUUUUACUGUUUUCCAUUUCUACAGUGAAUAUUUUAUUGAGUGGUUGGGGUUUUUGAUUAAGUAGGUGUUUGAAUUUAUGACUCACAAAACUUCUCUCCGCACCGCAUUCAAAGAGUAUGCAUGCAUAAAUGUUGUCGAGGAGAAACGUACCCGUAACCACCAUGGGGUCAGCUAUUGUUUCAUUCUGUCCUAUCGCCAGCACUCUCCCAACACCGCCAGUAUUCUUUGUCUUGGGGCAAUCCCUCUUGAAGUGCCCAGUUUCUCCACACCCAUAACAUGCCUGGCUUAUUCCAGUACCAGGAACUUCAGUGAUUGGUCGUGCCGGUGCCUUACAGAAAUGGGCAGUGUGCCCAUUCCUGUCGCAGUUUUUACAGUGCAUCUCGCGGCAAUUACCGUGGUGAUGAUAGUUGCAUUUGUUGCACUUUGGCAGGUUCCCAGCAUAUUGUUUCGUUGGCGUAGGGGUAGCAGGAGUUGUAGUGGGAGCAGUGGCGGCAUGAACCGUAACCAUUUGUUUCUUUGAAGAUUCUUGCGAAGUUUGCCCCUUUCUCUUGUUCCUGAACUUCUUCUUGCUAUUGUUGUUGGCAUUGUUAUCGUUGUUGUCGUUCCCUUUGGUUGGUUCAACGGCGAUAGCCGUGACACCUUGACAGACACCAUGAUCAACGAGAGAUGGCGCCAAUUCCUUGGCGCUGUCGAAUGUCAUGGGUUUGGAGGCUAACACACUCCCUCGAAGUUGGGGUGAUAGUCCCAAAAUAUACCUUUCCACCUUUUGGCUUUCCAGGAUCAACAUUCAUGGGCAAAGUAUUAUUAAGUCACUGAAUUUGUUGGUAUAGCCCACGAUGUUCGAGCCUACCAUCGUAAGGCCCUACAGUUCAUGUUCAAGCUUCUGAAUCUCGCCUCUUGGGCAGUACUCUCGUAGGAGCAUUCGUUUCAGUUUUUCCCAACCCAUGGAGUUCGCCACCACUAGGGUUAGUGCCUUGACAUGGCCGUUCCACCACGUUAGGGCUCGUUUGGAGAAAGUAAAAGAGGCAAACUUUACUUUGCUUUUUUCAGGGCAAGCGCAAAUUUCGAAUACAUCCUCCGUUUUCUCUAUCCAUUGGGAUAGAUCGAUCACUCCCCCAGUCCCAUAAAAGGGAAUAGGUUUUCCGUUGGUGAAGUCUUUGUAAGUACAUACUCCUGAACGACCUUGGCUUUGGCCAUUUGUAAAGCUGUUUAUCCCUCCUCCUGACCCGUUGUUACUCAUUUGAGCCAUCGUUGCAGUUACAGCGGCUGUUACAGCAGUUUGGAACAUAGUGGCAUCCAUAAUUGGAGGAGGUGGUGGAGGUGGUGUUGGAGCUGAGUUUCUGCGUGAUGAUCUACGAGGAGGCAUGUUCUGAUAGAGAAAUAAUAAUAAAGACUAUAAGUUUCUAAUGAUUUGACAAUCGUGCACUAGAUGGUUAGUUGUAUCUUGUAAUUUGUUUUGACUUUAAUUUAUGGUUUCAAAGUAGAUAUAGCAAUUUAUAAGUGUCAAGAGGUAUGUAAAGAAGUACUUCAUAUUUAUAUAUAUGUCACACAUACGGUGCGUUACAUUAUGCUUCAUGUUUAGGAAAAUUUGACCUAUCUAGAGGUCUCCGACUACAAGUUCAAAGGAAAUAAGAAAACUUUAUCCGAGGUCCUAUCCUAUAUCAAAAUUGUUGGAGUUGGGCAAGUUCUACUUGCGGCGUGUUGUGCGUUUGGAGCUAGACUCGGCAUCCGACUGCUUGACUCCCAUUAGGCACCUUUCAAGAACUUCUUAUUGUUCUUUCAUCUCUCUUAUUUCUGCCAGUGAUGUCACUAUUUGGUUUUGAAGCGUUCCUGUGUGGAGUUGGGUACUUUCGUGUAGUCCGUCCAGACGACGGAUUUCUACGGCGUUACCCUGUGUAGCAUCAUUGACCUCACGGAUUCUGGCCGCUUGUAUGUCUGACUGGUAGUUCUGGGUGGCUAUUGUGCCCACAUGGACGGGAAGCGCUCGAUCGGAUGGGCCUCCUCCACUUACAUUGUAAAAAUACCGACACAUGCCGAAGGGAGGGCGUACACCUAGUUGACGGCUCCAAUGGUAGAGGUGGCUUCCCCAAAUGGGAAUGGGACCUGGGUAUUAUGGUCUGACUUCGGGAGGACGCGGAACAGGAGGGUUGAUUACAUUCGGCUCGGAGUCUGUUCUAUCAGUAUCUUCCUCUUCCUCCUCGACCUCCUCGUCGGCUUCGAAUUCCUCCCCGACUUCCUCUUCGACUUCGAAUUCUUCUUCGACUUCCUCUUCGAUUUCCUCCGGAUCUUCUUCUAUCCAUCCACCGUUACCUUGGUUUGGGUAGUAGGGAUCUCCCGGUAAAUGGAAUCCAGACAUUUGUCUGUACUAGGAUAUAGGUAUGAAAAUUUUAUAAGAAAAGAAGUUUCUAUUUAACGGCAUCCUAAGCUUAAUUACAUCUUAUGGUGUGCAAGUUUUUCCUUGUCCUAUUAUUUAAAAACAAUUCUCCUAUAGUAUUUCAAAUUUGCGAGUCUAAAAUUUUAUUUGGUAAGUUUUUGACUUGUUGUCCACUAAGACCAUUCCUCGACGUACGUUGGUCAAAUCCAGGAUAAAUAUAGUUGAUCAGGCUAUAUUUAUUCUUGAUUUGAUUAUAUACCUCGAGGCCCAAUCGUAGUGUCGCAACUUGUCUUAAUACUUUUUAGAAAAAAAAAUUAUGAUACGAGACCGAUACAUGCGAGUAAAAAUGUAUAUUUUUAAAAGAAAUAUUUUGUUUAUGAAAACGUUUUGUCAAAGGGUUUUUGGUCCCCAUUGCAUUUAUAGUUUGUAUAUCCUAUGUGGUUCGAUAUACUUAGUUCACAAUAAAUAAUGCUCUGGUACCAAUCUGUCACACCCCCAAACCAGAAUGGCGGAAACAUUCGGGGGUGGAUGACUUCACGUAGUACCAUAACAAUUGAAUAUUGUAAAGAAAGUAACACAACCAUCAUAUAUAUAAUAAAAACAUACAUUGUUGCGUUAUACAUGAUUCCAAAAGAAUAUUACAAUAUGAUGAUGUAAAAUGUUUAAUAAUAAACGCCCUUAGCGUUCCUUCUUCAAAUGCUGGUAGUUACCUGUAUUACUGAUUCCCUGAGAAAUACAAGUGGUUUCGAAAAAGUGUCGACAAUAAAGUUGGUGAGUUCAUAAGUGUUUCGUAUUGAAAAGAAUGUCUUUAUCGAAGAAAAUCGAUGAACGUGGUUUUCAAAAACUCCAAUAUUUUCCCUAUAUAGUUUGAAAAGUUCCCAAAGUUGGAGGGCGUUAGUAUCUUUCGUAAUUGAACGAUAAAGAUAAGUUUGUACUCAAAAUAAUGUAAAUACUGAAUGCAUGUAUGAAUCUCGUAAAUCAAGCUUGUUUUUAUACUUUCGUGUGAGUCUUAUAACCAUACUAUUAACACAGACGGCCUGUAACAACAUUCUUCAGGUGUUGUAUUGUUAUGACAUUUGUCACCCCAGACCUGCCGGUCUAACUGUAGCUAACAGUUUAGGUGUGGGGUUGUCAAUCCCGUAUAGAUCUAUACAAAAGUAUCACGCUCUCCCUCCAAGAGAUUAUGGAUUAUAAUACAGGACUUGAAAUGCAUACAUAAAAGUACUUUGAAGUUUGAAUAUCUCACAUCACUUAGUAUAAAUAGAUUUACGAUAAGAAGGUAUUUAUUUCACUUUAGAAGAAAGUAUUUUGUUUUUCAAGACAUAUACGUAAGAAUGUAUGAAUAACUCGCAAACUAUACCCAUUAUAGUUUUUUAGAAACUAUGUUCUAUUUGGUGAAAAUAACUUGGUGAUAUACUAAACUUUAUACGUAAAUUUUAUAAAGAUGUUGGUAUUGAAUAAUAAUAAGAUAGAUGUUGCAUUUAUAUAAAAUGAUACCUUUUCUUGUAUCGUACUUGUAUUUUCCGCCCUAAAACAUGAAAAGACGUGAAAAGUAGGGGUAUGAACUCACUUGUUCGGUUUGAAGAGAGUGGGACUAGAGUCAAGCAGAACUUCAACCGUAGAAAGCUGCGUCUUCGAGCUUCUCAGGGAUGUCGGUAGCGUAGAAACUUCGUCGGGGGCUCGGGUGUGGAAAUCGAGGGUGUCGGGACGGCCUCUGGUGCUUGUAAGUGUGUGAGAGUAAGUGUGAAUUUGGGAAAUAUGUGCUAAAAUCCGGAGCUUAUGCCUUCUAUUUAGAGGGCUGAAAAUGCGAGUACGUUGGGCGUACUACUGGGGUACGCUGGUCGUACGCGUUAUGCUGGGCGUACUCCUGGAUUACGUUGGGCGUAAUCCGUAACUUUCGCGUACGGGCUCCUUUUUUCGCGUUAUUCAUAUCCACACGUAGGUGGGCUUAUGCUCUACAAUUUUCAUUUAGACUCCGUCGGCUAGUUUUGACUUUAUUUUUAAUGUUAUGUUUUUAAUAGGCCGGGACUGCUAAAGUCCGUUAAAAAUUCAUAGUUUCUUUAUCCGACGUCGGUUUUUGUUUGUCUAUUUAUCAUCUUGCUCCUAUUAUGGAGACCUUCAACUUUCGUUUAGGUUGCGUUAUCUAAAUAUCGCUCGAUCUUCAAUUCGAGUUUUUAGCUCUCUACUACUGUUACGAAACUUAGAAAAUUCGUAACUUCUUCAUAUAAGGUCCAAUUUGGGCGAUCUUUUUAUGUGCGUUUACAGUUUAACGAACUCUACAAUUUUUUUUAGAUACUUAAGGCUAAAAUACAUUUUAUUGGAAUUUCACUUUUUACGUUAAAUAGUGUUUGACCGGGUGUCUCGUAAAUAGUUGAGUGGUUAUAGUUUCUUCAGUAUAACCCGAUUUCGAAUGUUCUUUAUGUUUUUGGAAACCUUGGCACGAUAUCUAACAUUUGAUGCAUCCCAAUUUAGAUAUUUUGAACACUCUAUUUUUGAGGUUAAUUUCGUUGAUUCCAAAUAGUUUUCGUUGUAUUUGACUUUUGAGUGUUACAUUGCUUUUGGAAAAAUAUAGGGUUGUCACAACCAGAGCCUUAGAGUUUUUUUAGUUGAUGGAAAAGGACUUAAUGGUUUAAUUUCUCCAGACGUAUCACCAUAACAUGGUGGAGGUCAUCACGACAUGGUAACUUGGUCAAGACCUACCUCUUUUGGCGAUUUGCAACCAUGACGUGGCAAAGGGGGCCAUAACGUGGCGACUAGCUUGGUUGACUUUUAACUUUCGACUUUGACCUAGAUUUUAACCCGACAUAUAAUAGAGGAACGUGUUGUUUCAUUUUCUUAUCGGGUUGAAAUACACCCUAGGGCGGGGCCCACUAUUAUAUGUCCGGUUAAAAUACACUCUAGGGCGGGGCUGUGACAACCGUCAAUUUUGAUCAAACAAAGUCAACAAAAGUCAACCAGGUCAACUCAAUUCGUAUUAGAAUUUUAGGAGAAAUAUGAUAUUCCCUAAUAUUUCUAAUGUACUAUUGACAAGUUAUAAUGCAAUGUACUGUUGGGUUUUGAGCAUUCUAACACUCCUAUGGUGUACAUGCAACCCUAUAAACCUUGGAUCUAUGUUUUCUCUAUUAUACAUGAUAAUAAGAACUUUCCAAGGCUUUAAUCCUAACCAACAUAGUAUGAGGCAACUAUACUAAAAAGACUAGUUAGAUGACAUACCUUUUGUUGUAGCUUGAUGUCUUAAAGCUUUAAAAGCUUAGCCCCAAUAGUGUGGAAGUCUCAAGUGGAAUCUCAAAUCACAAAAACACCUUGGAAGACUUUGAGAAUAAGAAUACUUUGGUUGUCUUUAGUGAAAUCGGCUAGCCCUCUUAGUGUACCACACUAGUGUUCAUUUCACCAACCUAGGACAUAUUUAUAUAGUGUGGAGACUAGGGUUAAACCCAUGACCUUUCUUUUUCUUUUUAUCUUUGUUACUGACCAAAGCUUCAUUACCCUUCGGUUUAGCAGCUGGUUUUGAGCUAAAAGGAGGAGGUUGCUUUGACUCUUUCUCUCCCCCUUGUUUCGGUUGGACCCCAGACACCGGAACACCCUCGAUACGGCUGAGAACGUCCAGUGCUGGUCUGAGCUUGUCUGCCAAAUGCCUUCUGACAGUGAUAGCGCUAAGCGGAUCAUUAGCCUCAAUAAGAUGAAGAAGGAUGGAGUGAGCAUCUGCAUCAGAACUCCGAAUGACCUCCCGUUCUGACUUUAGAUCAUCAAUCUCAGCAUUAGCAGUACGCAGCUUAUGUGUUUGCAAUUUAAGCUGGGCUGUAUGUCUAUCGAGCUCAUCCAUAAUCCGAUUUUCCAUAGCUAAGUCUGCUUCUAGUUGAGUUAAGCGUUCGUUGACAUUAGCAUGGAGCUUCUAGGCAUGGAGUGCCGCUUCUAGGUUCGAACACUCAGAUUGAAUAGUCUCUACUGAAGUGUUAAUAGUUUCAGCAUUCUUGGUAGCAGCAGCCUGCAAGGAAUCUAGAAACAAGUGAGCUUCUGAAACUAGUUUAUCAACUUUUGCGGUCGCUUCCUUGCAUUCCUUAGUCGAGGCAUCAACAGCGAGAGAAGCCUGUUGAUAUUGGGAAGUGGAGGCAUCAAUAGCCUUGGCUGUAGUAGAUAGGGUAGCACUAUGUUCGACGACAACCGAAUAGAACAAUGCUUUUAAAGCAGCUUCUGAAUAGGCACCGGAGGAAGAAGAUGAAAGCAGUUGAUUAAGCUUAUCGUUUACUGCUUUGAGAUGAGGUUUGGUGAUUGGCUUGUCGUCAUCAUCCUCGCUUUGCACUCAAUAAGGACUGAAAUAUGUGGAAUCGAAUUCCAAGUCCUCACCGCCCAAAAUAGGGGUUGUUUCAGUAGAUUGUGUAGGAGACAAGGGUUUUCAAGAAGGUGGACGUUCGGUUGUGAAAGUAGGUUCGGUUGUGAAAGGAGGUUCGUUUACAGGUGGAUUGGGAACAGUCAAGUCUGGUUUAGUAGUGGUAGUGGUAGUGGUUGUAUCUAUGAAAAUAGGAGUGGGAAUAGGAAUUGUAAUGAAUGGUUGAGAGGUGGUUAUUGGAGAGAUAGGAGGGAUAGAAACUGGAAGGGUGACAGGUGGAGGUGAAGGAGGAAAAGAACGAACCGGAAUUUCUGGAGUAGGGGAGCAAGGUGGAGUAUCCCUUCGGCCUGAAGCCUCGUCAUCAUAACUUUCACUCUUAGACUCCGAAGGAGGAGCGUUCUUGUCCGUAGGAGGAACGUAUUCUGAAUCCGAAUCACUAGAGGAUUGAAGAAUAAGUUUCCUAGCGGGCUUCUUCUGCUUUUUAGGUUGAGGUUGUGAAGUAGCAACUUUAUCAGUUUUUCGCUUUUUGGGGAUCUGCCCCUUGGUUGGUUUUGUGACCGGUCCCUCCUUCUGUGUGUCAGGCUUUUUACCCCUCUUGGCUGGCUUGUCAGCCUCGUCAAUGGAACGAAGCAUUGCCGGCGUAAGCUCUCUUGCACCAACAGAUGGACGCUUCUUGUAUUGUUGAAGAACAUUACUUGAAGCAGAAAUACGAUCGAGCAUAGCUUCAGGAAUAGGUCCGAUGUAUGAGAACUUGGUCAGAUCAGUGACGAUGAUUUUCGUCGUGUGAAAAGUGGCAAUAGAGGAGAGCAAGGAGUCCGCUAUUAUUGGAACACGAUUACGAUGCAUUGCCCAUUUGGUGAUGAGAGUCCAGAAACGCCAACAUGAAAUCUCAGAGUGCCUGGAUGAAGAAACCAGGCUUUGAACCAACUGUUGCCAAAUAAUGGACCCAUAAUCGAGGUUAAGCCCACUAUACAACCCAUACAACACCGUCAUGAAGGACUUGAGUGCACCGUUAGAACCAGCGCUCCUCUCAGACAAUCCUUUGAACAAUAGCGUGAAAAUACCAUUCCAUUGAGGAGGAAGGCAGGACUUCUUGAACUUGGUGACAGUUGUUAGGGUUUCAAUAUACCCCAUCUGAUAGAACAUUGUGAACAUGUGACCAGUGGUAAUGGAAUCAGGGCAUACCAGAGAUGGAUCUUGAGAAAGACCGAUUAGGGCACAAAAUCGACUCUGGGAGAUAGAAAUCUUCUCAUGGUGAAGUUCAAAGAGAAUUCUUUCAUUAGCCUUGUGGUAGAAUGCAGUAGAGUAGACAAGAGACAAGAACGAUAUAGGAACAACUUCAACUUUUGUCAGUGCGUCGACGAGUGGUGAGUAUUUAAGACACUCAACCACAUACAGCAUAUAGGGCUCAUAUACGAAUGGAGUGAGAUCAAUGAUCAGAUUUUGUUGGGCUUUGAUAGUGAGUAGGGGUUGACGAAUGGAGAUAUCGUGAACUGAUGAGGAGUCUGCCAUUGUAGUAGCUUAGAGAAGACGAUGAACAGUUGCAGAAAAUCGUCGGGUUUCUUUGAGAGCUUUUUGGAAGUGAUAAAGGCUGAGAGAGUACUACUCCAAUUCCUUAUAUACGUACAAGGAAGAGAGAGAAGAAUCUGGCUGAAAUCUUGGAUUAUCUCAACAAUAGCACCAGAGUUGAUGGGUGAACAGUUGGCAUGCCGAAGAUGACGCAAGAGAGAGAAAAACGUUUCCCUUUUUCACGCCUUUUCAUAAAACUUACUUUUUCAAAUCGUCAAACCGUUUGGUUAUCUGUUGAGUCAGCUACUACUUUAUCCCAAUCGUUUCUCCUUAUGACGCUUGAAUGUUUGUGCCUGUAGCGCUUUAAUGAUCUAUCUGAACCAGAACUGGAAUUUGGAAAAUUAAAAAUUUUUGUGCAUAGGGUGUAAAAGAUAAAGAAAUAAAACAAUAUUUUAGGAAUUAUAUGUGAUGUCGUAAUCUGACAUAAAACUCUUGAUUCUGGGCAAAAAUCACUUCCUUCAAAGUCAAGAGAGACAUUGAAGUGCUUGCUUGGUUUCCCAUGAAAUAACGAUCAAUAACUUGUUGAGAAGUUUUGAAAGGAUUCUUUUAAAAGUUAAAGAGGGUGGCUUUCGCUUCAAUUCAUAAUUUCGAUUCUUCACAUAAGACCAAAAGUGAAUGAAGUACUUGUGAGAUCAUUUUGAUCUGUUGAACAAUUAGGUGUGAAAUAUUUUAUAGUGACGAGAGAAGUAAAGAAAUCUCAAAAAAAAAAAAUAAACUGGAUCUUUUAGGAUUAGAAAAGCCUUGGUGAAAGGCAAUCUCAAAAAGAUCACUCAAAAGAAAAAAGAGAUUUCAUUGGGUAACAAGUAAGAGCUUGAAUUUUUGAAUUCACCAUCAAUUCAUUAGUGGUGUUGAACUUUGGGUUUCACUUAGUACAUAGUGGCAUGAAACUAAGAUCAUGUACGUAGAUUUUGUAUAACUAUAAACCUCAGCGGUUAAAACUGAGAGUCUUAGGAGUUAUAUUGAUGAAAUGAAUUAUAAUGGAGAAAGGUGAUGGAGAUGGUAUAAGAAGCGAAUGUACCUCUGCUUUUUAAAGAAAAGAAGGACCAAGCAGAAAACUCUAAACUCAAUUUGAGUAGAGUAAGGUAGCUAAUGAUUAGAGUGAACUUGAUAGCAUGGAUUGGGAAAACAUGAUUGGUAUAUAUCAUGUUAUUAAGGCUUCACUCAAAAUCAGUCAAGGCUUUAGUCAACAUGCAGCAACAUGCUUCUAGGGACACCUAACUAAUAAAACCUUUUACCUGCCUUAGCUUUCCCAUCGAGAAUCAUACUUAUACAAAAAUAAAAAAACGUUAGAUAAAAAAAUAAAAUAAAUAAAACAAAAAAAUAUUUUUGGAUUUUAUAAUCAUUUUUAUGAAAACAAAAAAAAUAUUUUUGGGAUUUUAUAAGUAGAAAAGAAGUAGUGAAAAAGUGUACAUAAGAGACCAGUUGAAAUGCCUUAAAAAAACAAAUAGUUUAGAAGGACCGAACCCGAAAUAGACCGAACGCUCGGUUCAUGGUCGAACUUCACCCGAAAUAGACCGAACCCGAAAUAGACCGAACGUUCGGUUCAUUUCGGUUCAUAUAGGUUCGCUCUAUUUCGCUUGUUACCUUUAUGGAAGCGAAGGCGAUUUCGGUACUGACUUGGCUUGCAUCAUUCCUAGGCCUUGUAGAAUUUUAUUGAAGCUUGCUUCAGGUAAGGCCUUUGUGAAUAUGUCUGCCAGUUGAUCAGUCGUUCUGACGAAGUGAAUUUCUACGUUACCAUCUUCGACGUGAUCCUUGAUGAAAUGGUACCUCAGUGCGAUAUGCUUGGUCUUCGUUUGUUGCACUGGGUUGUGACAAAUCCUGAGUGCGCUUUCAGAAUCACAGUACAUCGGGAUUUUCUUCAUGUUUAACCCAUAAUCCCGGAGUUGACUUUGUAUCCAUACGACUUGAGAUGUACAGGAUGCUGCAGCAAUAUAUUCGGCUUCUGCAGUGGAUAACGAAACACAGGUUUGUUUCUUUGAUUGCCAACUGACUAAUUUACCAUCCAAAAAUUGACAUCCUUCGGUGGUGCUUUUACGAUCCAAUCCAUAUCCACCCAGAUCAGCGUCUAAAAAUGCUUGAACGAAGAAUCCAGACCGAGACCGAGAGAGGAGGUUCGCUUCAGAUAGCGAAAGAUGUUCUUCACUGCUUGAAGAUGAGGUUCUCGUGGGUUGGCUUGAAAUCGAGCACAGUAACAGACAUAGAACAUGAUAUCAGGUCUACUAGCGGUAAGAUACAUCAGAGACCCAAUCAUCUAUCGAUAAAGCAUUGUGUCAGCGGCUGGUUUCUCCAAUGAUGGUGUGAGUUUGGUUCCAAAAGUCAUUGGCACUUUCACUUUGGAGUCUCCCAUCAUUCCAAACUUGGUGAGCAGAGUUUUGGUAUAUGCUUCCUGAUUAUUAAAAAUUCCUUUGGGUCCCUGUCUAAUGUUCAAUCCAAGAAAAAAGUUAAUUUGACCCAUUGAGCUCAUCUCAAACUUAGUUUCCAUCAACUUUCGGAAUUCAGCUGUUAAGCUAGAAUUCGUGGAGCCAAAGAUGAUGUCAUCAACAUAAAUUUGGACUAUCAUAAGGUGGUUACCUUCUCGCUUACGAAAGAAGGUUGGGUCAACCGAACCUUGUUUGAAUUUAGACAUUUUUAAGAAAUGUGUGAGAGUUUCAUACCAUGCUCUCGGAGCUUGUUUCAGGCCAUAGACAGCUUUGUUGAGGAUAUAACAAUGAUCGGGAUACUUCUCGUUCACGAAUCCUGGCGAUUGCUCAACAUAUACGGUUUCUUCAAGUUCACCGUUGAGGAAAGCACAUUUGACGUCCAUAUGAUAGACUUCAAAGUUCUUGUGAGCAGCGUACGCAAGAAAGAUAGGAACAGAUUCCAAUCUUGGCAUGGGAGCAAGGUUUCUUCUUAAUCAAUUCCCUCUUCCUGACAAUAUCCUUUGACCACCAGCCUUGCUUUGUUAUGAAUGACAUUCCCUUCUUUGUCCAUCUUGUUUCUGAAUACCCAUUUGAGACCGACAACCGAAGCAUCCUUUGGAGUUGGAAUAAGAAGCCAUACCUUGUUUCGUUCAAACUCAUUUAACUCAUCCUGCAUGGCUUGAACCCAGUCUGAAUGAUCAAGAGCUGAGUUAACCGUCUUUGGUUUAAUUUUGGACACGAAUGAAUUGAACAUGCAGAACUCUACUUUCGAAAAUAGUGCAGCCUGUUUCUCUUUGAUUUGAGAGCGAGUUAACACCUUUUCUGAGGAUUCCCCAAUAAUUUGAGUUUGAGGGUGAUCUUUGGUCCAUUUAAUCAGGGGGGGAAACUUUGGAUCAUAGAUACGAUCCAAUUCAGCAUUGAUUUCUUCUUCGAGUUCAGACAAAAUAUCAUCAUCACCAACAUUGGUGUUCUCCCACUCGAAGAAUGAUUCCUGUUCAUGACCAGCAUUUGUAUCCCCUUCAUUGGCCGGAAUUUCAGUAGUGCUUGUUGUAUUUGGUGAUGAGUUCUCCCCAUGGAAUGAAGAACCUUGAUCAUGAUGAGGAGAGGAACCCUCACGCCGGAUAGUAGGACGUCCACCAGAAGGUUCACUUGCGUAUGCACCUUCUGUUCCUUUGGAUUGAUCUUCAGCCAUCUUCUUAGCAGCAUCGUCCAUAACUUGUUUCAGAUUAUCAACUUUGUUUUCUUUUGCAGUUGAUUCAGAGUCAAUCGCCUUUUGAGGCUCAUCAAACAAGAGUAUGAAUUGGUCGAAAAGAUUCGAGAUGGAGAUAGUAACCUAACCAUUCUUUGGAAAUAAGUCUUGUGAUGCAUCUUCUGUGGGUUUCAACUUCUUAACAUAACUAUCGUCAAAAGUGACAUAGUAUGUUUCUUCAAUUUUCUUAGAGCGUUUAUUGAGAACUCUAUACGCCUUGGAGUUUAGGGAGUAGCCUAAGAAAAUUCCUUCAUCCGCCUUAACAUCGAACUUGUUUCGAUUCUCCUUGGAGUUGAAAAUGAAACAUCUUGAAUCAUACACAUGAAAAAAUUUCACAUUUGGUUUUCGAUUGUUCAGAAUCUCGUAAGGGGUAAUUCAAAACCGCUUAUUUAAGUAUGAUCUAUUCUGAGUAUAACAUGCAGCCGCAAUUGCAUCAGCCCAGAAAAACAAAGGUAAGGACGCGAAGCAUAGCAUGGUGUGAGCAGCUUCACACAGUGACUGAUUUCUCCCUUCAACAAUGCCAUUUUGCUGCGGAGUAUAGGGAGCUGAGAAACUGUGAGUCGUCCCUUUUUCAGCAAGAAAACUUUCAAAUUCUUUGUUUUUGAAUUCCAGGCCAUUGUCGCUCCUUAUAUCACGAACUACCUUUCUCAGUUGCAUUUCUAUCUGUUUGAUGAAGAGCUUGAGCUUUGGAGUAGCUUCAGACUUUUUCUUGAGAAAGAAGGUCCAUGUAAACCUUGAGAAAUCGUCCACUAUAACCAGAAUAUAUUUGUUUCCCCCAAUGCUUUUGAUGGACUAUGGACCACAUAGAUCAAUAUGCAGUAACUCCAAUGGUUCUAUUACCUUAGUGUUGAUAAUAGAGGGAUGACUCUGCCGACCCUGCUUUCCCAUUUCACACGAUGCACAAAGAUGUUCUUUAUCGAAUUUUAGAACUGGAAGACUUGAACAUGAUCACCUAAGACCAAUUUGUUGAUGUCCUUGAAGUUUAGAUGAGAAAGCCUUCUAUGCCAUAACCAGCUUUCAUUGGAGUGAGCCUUUGUGAGUAAACAUACUGCUAGUUUACCUCUUAUAGGAUUGAGAUUCAAAGGAUACAUUUCCCCUUUUCGCUUUGAUUUCAACAGAGUGUUGUUAGAGCUCUUUUCGACAAUUUCUGAACCUUCAUCGUCGAAUGACAAUUUUAGACCAGUACCAACCACUAGUUGUGAUACGCUGAUGAGAUUGUGUUGGAGCCCUUCAACAUAUGCAACCUUCCUUAUGGAGAACUCUCCAUUAGUGAUCAUUCUAUAGCCUUUGAUAGUUCCAAAAGAGUUGUUGCCAUAUUUCACAAUUCCACCAUUUUUGAGAGAACGAAACUCUCUUAGUUCCUCCUUCCUUCCUAUCAUGUGACGUGAGCAGCCACUAUCAAUGUACCAUUCUUCGUCAAACUGCUCGUCACGUAUAACCUACCAAAAAUUAAACAAAUUCAGGAACCCAAAGUUUCUUGUAUCCUUGUGAGCCUUUUACAGGACAUGGAAUAGUAAGAGAAAUAUCAACCAUAUAUGUGCGUUUAAUUAAAGUUGUUUCAUCUUUUCUUUUAAUGGUGAAGACUUUAAUUUUUGUUGAUUUAGGAGGACUGGGGUUUUUGGCUGAGGAACUGGAAUUUUUGAGAAUUGGAUUUAGAAGAUACAUUAGAUUCCCGGUUUUUUGAUCAGAUUUGCAGGCAUGAGGACCGAAAUUGCUAUUUCGUUUCCAUGGGAUGAGGGACCGAAACUCUCCUUUCGAUUGUUGUAGGUUGAGGGACCAAAACUGCCCUUUCGGUUGUUUUCAGUCAAGGGACCGAAAUCGCUCUGUCGGUUGUUGAUGGAUGAUGGACCGAAAGUACCCUUUCGGUUGUAAAAGGACGAGGGACCAAAACUACCCUUUCGGUUGUUAUCGGUUGAAGGACCGAAACCAUUCUUUCGGUUGGUGUUGCAGUGAAGACCGAAACUGCUCUUUUGGUUCCUUGAGUUUUCUUCUGAUUUGUUCUUCCUUUCUAUUCUUACAAAAUAAGGAUUUUGGGAAUUCCAAAAUCGUUUUCUUUCUGAGAGAUUCUUCUUAUAUCUCAGAUUUCUUUGAUGCUUUCGAUCUGCCACCUGUUUUGGAUUUCUAUGAAUGUUAGCUUUUCUUUUAGACACAUGAGCACAUCAUUCACUCUUUGUAGAAGAAGUAUCACUCGUGGUUUGCAUCAGUUUGUCCAAAGAAGGUUUAGUUCCACUUAUGCUCGGCACAUCGUACUUUGUAGCCUCAUUUAGUGGUUCAGGUAUAUAUCUACCUUUCACUCUCCAUGAGGUUUUCUGAGAAAGACCCUUCGUCUCAUCUGCGUUGUCUAUUGGGGCCGACCAGAAGAAUUCAACACAUCCACCAGCAUUGUCUUCUUUUACCAUAGCAGUUAACUUUGUAGUUUGUUGUGGAGUGAUUCCCGGCACUGUGUAGACUUGGUUUGGAGUAGUUUGAACCUUUUGAUACAUAACAACUUUAGAUUUGAGAACUCUAGACUUGUCGGUAGGGAACAAGCAAACUCAACAGAGUUUUCUGAAAUUAGGUUCUUAUGGGACAUGGGUUCGUUUUUGGCCAAUUCAGAAUAGUCUACCAAAUCUUCUAUAGAAAUUUCAGUCAAAUCAUCAUCCUCAUUAAGUUUAGAUGUAUUUUCAACAUCAAUUUUGUUUCCUGAACUUAAAUUGGCAUUCAAGGAGUCAAAUUUUUGUAUAGUUUCGGCUCUCAGUUUCAAUCUAUCAUUUUCAUCUAACCGAUUUUUGUGCAUGUCCUUGUGGUCCUCGGACUUUAUGUAGGAUUCAAUUUUGUCUAGACCUAUUUUGUACGCUGGAGAUACUUCGUCAGAAGAUACAACACUUUCACAGUUGUAGGCUUCAGCAUCGAUUUCAUCCUCCUUUAAUUCAAGGAAAGGUAAAAUCAUGCGAUGUAUCUUCUUUCCUGUUUCACAAUCAAGAUGCAACUGAGUGAUGUUAAAAUAGAGUCUCUUAGCAAUUAAACAAAAAACAUUUCUCUGUUUAAGAAGUUUAAGAUUGUCUCUUUGCAAAUAAAUAGAAUCAUCUUUAGAUCUAAUUAACUUCUUUUCCUUUUGCUCGAUCCACAUCCUUCGUUCCUCACUCUUUGAAGAAAUCCUGCUGAUUUGAUCAGUUAGGUUAGAAUUUAUGACACGGGUUUGGGUGAGACUGCUACUUAUGCUAGAGAAUUUCGACUUUAAGUUAUUUAAUUCCUUUUCAUAAUCAUUCACAGGUAUUUUUAGAGAAGCAAGAAUAUUUUGUACCUUUUUGAUCAACUCAUCACAUUCGCUGAUCUGAGCACUAACAUGCUUGGCCGCAAAACAUCUGUCCUCUUGCUCCCUUUCUUCUUCAACUCCCCCAUCAGUUGUGAAUCCUCGCAUUUUCCUUUUGCAUGAUCUUCUUUUGCCAGCAUAGCUUUUCCGUGAGUGGGCUUCCUGACUUCAUCAUCCUCCGAAUCUGUGGACCAGACCUCCACACCACCAAACUCAUCACUGUUGUUUGCACCCUGCACAAUUAAGGCAUUCAUGGUAGAGUUAUUAACAGCCGACUUCCUUUUCUUAAUUUCCUCCAAUCUACUCAGGAGGCUCGCUUCCUCAUCUUCUUCGUUUGACUUUUCUUCUUUCUUUUUUAGCAUACAGUCUUUGGCAAAAUGAUUUUUGCCUCCACAGUAAUGACAGUCAAACCCUGAGUCUCCUCCAACUUUAGCUUCCUUCUUGGACUCUUCAGAUUUUGAAACCAUCUUCGGUUCCUCCUUGAUCCUUUCGGCACUGUAACUACCCUGCCAGUUUCAGUUCUUGUUGGCUGGGAAUUUCUUCUUAAUGAAUUCUUUGGGAUUUGACACCAUCAUGGCGUAUUCUUCGCCGGUUAGAUCAAAAUCUACAAGAUCUAAUUCUUCUUCUUCUUCAACCGAACUCUUUCCUUUGGAGACAAGAGCUAAAGAACCCAGACUUGAUACCACAUUCGUUUCCUUGGAUAAGGCAUUCAUGGGAUUUUAAAAUACCCACCAGUUUUUCCAGAGAGUAAGAUUUGAACUGUUCAUGAGCUUUGACGGUUGACAUAACAGCCAUCCAUUCAGGUCUGAGGUCGUUCAUGAAAGUGACCUUUUGUUCUAUUACCUUUCUUUCGAAUCCAUGCUUUAUCAUCUUACUCAAAAGAUGAUUGAAGCGAUCGAAAGUUUGAACAAGUUUUUCUUCGUGCUUCUGUUUAAAGUCACCAAACUCAGAUAACAAGAGAGUUUGGAUAGAGUGUUCCAGAUCUUCAUCUGUGGAAUAUAAUUCCUUCAAUCUAUCCCAGAUCUCCUUAGUUGUAGCACAGGAACUCACUAAACAAAACGUAUCCGAUUGCAGCGCAAACCCUAUCAUCCGUAGAGCUUUAAUGUUUCACUGAAACUUCUCUUUUUCAUCCUGAGAAAUGUCUUUGACAUCAUUGACAAGCUGAUUGAAUUAUUUCUGUGUUUUAACAAUCUUUGAUGUGCCUGAGUGAGCGAAUGGGCCUGCAAUGAUUGCUUCCCAGAUUAGAUACCCAUUGUCCUCCGAUCCAAUCACGUAGUCUUCAAAGUGAUGCGUCCAAACUUCAUUGUCUUGUGUAUACAAGAUUGGUAUUCUUGUUGUAGACCCUAUGCUGUUGGAGAUAUUGAUCGGAUUGGUUUGUGAAUCAUCCAUGGACAUCGUAGAUACUUUUGAUCGAAAACCUAUAAAAGAUCAGACUUGUAAUAUAUCGUUAGGGUUAGAUCAACAAUUAAUGAGAUACGUCAAUAAAGAGUGUAUGAAUUACCCUAAGAUCUUCUUCAAAACUCUUAGAUCAAAUAGAUCUUUCACAAGUGCAACAAAAGUAAUCAAACAGGUUAAGAUCAAUACAAGAAUGAACACAGAAUAUAAUCAAACUUAUGCUUAUGAUUCAAAACUGAGUCACACCUCAGCAGAGCUCGAUGAAGAACUUCUGUUGUAGAGGCGAGCUAGGGUUUACAGAACGAUUAAGUAAAAGCAACGAAAGCGAUCACAAAUAAGACUGCAUGCAUGCACACGACUGGACAAGCCCAAUACCGGCAUUCAAACUGGGCUAAGGACUGAGCCCAUGACGCAAUCUAAUAGAAUCUACACAAUCCAUAUAAAUUGUGUCGAUGAAGUGCAACCCAAAUGGACAAUGCCGGAUCGGGUCAAGUACAUACCAAAUAUAGUUAUGGACUUAGACAUUAAUUCAACAGUCUCCUACUUGGAUAAGUCUAAAAACUAUUAUUGAGUAUGACUUCAAAACCUANGUCGAACUCUGACCUUUGUCAAGGACUUGUCCAUUAGAUAAGGGAUCAUAUAUUCCUCCAUUCUAAAUAUCAUAUGGACUGAGACAUAGAUUAUAAUCAUUCUCUCUGUCCAUUUGUUGUUUCCUAAUUUUUCGAUUCAUGAUGACUGACUGAUUGAACAAAUCAAAUCAGUCCUGGCUUGGCCAAUGUAACAAACCGUUAUUUCAAACUUAUGUAAUAGUGUAGGUCAAAUUGUUCUUCUUUUUAAUUAAAUAAAGAGAAAUUUUGGCAUACUAUGUAUAUUUACAUAAUUGACCCUCAAAAAUAAAUUAUUAAAUAAUCUCAAUUGGGUUGAACCAAGUGAUAGAGAUUGUAACAAGGUUUCCAAAAAUAUAAGGAACACUAAAAUCCGAGUUAUAACGAAGAAGUUAUGACCAAUCGAAAAUCCGCGACAAAACCGGCAAAACAUUGUUCAGUGUAAAAACUGAAUUUUUAAUAAAAGGCUUUCUAGCCUUAACAAUCUAAAUGAAAGUUAUAGUUUAUGUUAAACCGAGAACUUUCAUAAAAAGAACGCCAAAAUCUGACUUCGUAUGAGGAAGUUAUGAUUUUUCGAAGUUUCAGUAUAGCAGUGUACAGCUAAAAACUCGAAAUAAAGAUCGAGUGGUUUUUAGCCGACAUGACCUAAACGAGAAUUGAAGGUCUCGUCAUUAGUAGUACAACGGUAAAAAGACAGACAAAAACGGACGUCGUAUGAAGAAGUUAUGAAUUUAUAACGGAUUCACGUCCCGAUCUGUUUAAAAUAAUAAUAUUAAAAAUAAAUUCAAAAUUAGCCGACGAAGUCAAAACGAAAGUCGUAGAGUAUAAUUUUAGCUACGCGUGCAUAUAAAGAACGUCAAAAACGGAGUUCGUAUGCAAAAGUUAUGAAUUUUACAAGUUUUGGCAAAAAAAUAAAGAAAAAUAGAAAUACCCGGGAAAAUUCGCAUGAACAGUAGCGCCACCUCACCCCUCGCAUGCGAGCCUCCACGUGUCGGCUGCUGAGUGGACCGAAGUCUCGCGUGUCACCUCCUGAUUCGGCCACUUCUGCGGUCCAAUCCCACUCGGACAGCCUCGCAAGGAGACACACCGGGGAUGCUCCUCGCACACGCCUCGCACCACCCUCGGACACCCCUUCGCACGUGGCUUCUUUGCAUUGGACCGAGGGCUAGACCAAUCCGAGCCUACCACCUCCGAACCGAAGCUGCUUCCCUUCGCAGAAUGUCAGCCUCGCAUAGCCUCGCACAAGCUUCGGAUCCGAGGCUUCGGCCUAUAUAAGGCAUGCGAGGGUUUCCGGAUUUUUUACACUUUUCACCCCAAAUUUUACUCUCUUUCACUUUUUCCACACCCUUAAGCUUAUAUACAACCCUUAAAGCCCCGGUAUCAAGACUCGAGCCCGAAGUAAGCCGUGAAGCCCCGAAAUUCUCGAGAAUUCAUCCUCUCUCCUGUCAAAACUCUGCCCGAUUUGAGCCGGUUUCUCGACAAAUAAACUCCUUUUCGUGAAACGAAACCCUGUCCGAAUUACCACCUACCAAGUGAGUUCAUACCCCCGUAUUUUCAUAAUUUCUACUGUUUUAAGGGGGGAAAUACAAGUAUAACACAACAACUUUGUGUUAUAAAUAAAUGAUUUCAAAUCACGAUAAAAUGAUUUUAAAGCAUCGAAAAUACUUCAAAUUUUGAACUCUUUUAUAAACUUAUAUUUUUCCCAAAUAUACAUAUUUGUAUAUAUAAUUUAAUAUAAAUAAGAUUUAAAAGGCUUAGGACUAAUAAUUCAUUCUAGGUCCUUUUCCUUGUUUGGAUGUGGACUUAUAGUACCAGUUAUUUGUCCGAAGGUCGUUCAAAUUUUACUUAUUUAUAAAAUUGUAUAUGUAUAUAAAAUUAAAAGUUAUUUCAUCAGUUUAAUCACCCUUUGUAACAUGUUGAGCAAAGGAUUACAUGCAAAAAUAGUUAUUUACCAAUUCAUAAAGUACAUAUAAAUUAUAAUAGGUAUAGUUUAUGAUACAUAGAGCAAUAAUUCAUAUGAAUACAUUGUUUUACAUGCAACAAGGGUUUUAACUCAAAACAAAUCAAGGGUUUACACUUAUCAAAUACAUGUUCGGGAUACUAAGUCAAGAACAUAAUGUCAAUCAUUUAUCUCAGAAUGAUUGGGUUUUCAUAACUAAUAUACAUGUAACGUUUAUAUGCUUUUUAUGAGACAUUCAAUUCAGGUUGUUUAGAUUCAGUCUAGACAACCAAGGUAAAGCCCUGACAUUAUAACCAGAAUCUCCAGUCCGGGGAUCGAAACAAGUUGUGUGUAGAUCUAUAUCGGGAUUGACAACCCCGCACUCAGGCUGCUAGCUACAGUCAGGCAUACAUGCCAAUGAGUGGCAAUUGUUAUCAACAGUUUAAGCGCUCAUCAGGCGUUUGUUUCAGGCGUUCAUGUCUUAGUAUGGUUAUAAUAACUCAUUAAAAAGAUAUUAACAACACGUUAGUGUAUAAACAACUAAACGUAAGUAUAUCUUCAAAGUACCAGUUUACAAAAUGCAAAGUACAAUGCUAUACUAUAGUUUUCAAUAACAGCUGGUGAAGCCAGGCACACUCUCAAAUACAAGUUUUACAAAUACAAUGGUUUACAAAUAAGACGGUUUUAUAGGAAUAAAACUACUUUUCACAUACCACAGAAAAUAUGGGAUUUUCUCGAAGUGUUUUCAUAUUCAAAAUACAAAUACACCCAUUCAAAACAUAAAGACUUAUGUACUCACUCAACUUAUUGUUGAUACUCUCUUUUCAAAUUACUUGUAUUAUCAGGGAAAUAAUAACAGGUACUCCCCGAGCUUUUUGAGAAGAUGAAGCCAUUAGGAGUCUUAUCUUCUUCCUUUGUAUAACUGUUUUGGUUUCAAUAUACAAUGAUUGAACACAUGUAAAUAUUACACUUUUAAAUACAGUGGUUGUUUGUACUUUGAUUACUAUGAUGCAUGUGUUGUGGUACUACAAAUGAAGUCCUCCACCCCCGGACGUUUCCGUCGUCUGGUUUGGGGGUGUGACAGAUUGGUAUCAGAGCAUUGUUUAUAGUGAACUCAGUAUAUCAAUCCAUAAAAGAUAUACAAACCAUAAAUACCUUGGGGCUGAGAGCUCUGACUACAAGUAUACUUUUAAUAAUUCUAAGUAUACUAACCCUCGUACCUAUAAGUACAUAGUCAUAAGAACAUAAAAGUAUUUGGGUGUUGAACAUUACAGUUAAACCCGGGCAGUUAUGUAAUCAUAUCUAGAGUUAAUAUAGCCUAAUCAACUAUUUUGAUUUCAGAUAUGACCAACAUGUGUUUGGGAGUAAUAGUAGUGUUGUGACAUGUCUAAAACUUACCAACUACCAAAGAAACUCUAAGAACAGAUCAUAAAUACUAUAAGAAUAUUAUAAACAUCGAUAUGCUUUAGUUUUCUUUUCAGGAAUUUCUCAUAACCUUAUUCUCGUACAGACACAAUGGCAGGACAUCAUCCACCAGGGGACCCUUAUUUUCCAAAUCAUCGAGGAGCCCACAGAUAUCGCUUUUAUCCCGAAGGUAAAAGGAAUGGAUAAACUUCGACUCAUAUGGCUUGUUCUACUACUUGUUGAAUCAUACACAAAUGCACAUAUUAUAACAUCGAGUUACCAAUGCAUUUUCAUGCAAUCAAUGUACAACCAACUCCUAGUAACAACUCAUAUCUCUAGGUUUGAAGAAUAUAAGAUAUUAUCAUCUCAUGAUCACUCGUGAUAAAAUCAUUGAAAUGAUUCCAAUGAGCGCGAGUUGAAUCCAAUACUCAGAACUUAUGAGCACUCAUGAGUGUUGUAGCACCACCUUGUCCAACAUCUUAGACCUCUACAAGCCCAACCCAUGACAGUCUUGAUUUAUAUCUACUUCCAACAUAUGACCGACUGUGGAUGGUUUGAAUAACUUAGUCAUUUAGGAAGAACGACCUAGUUAUGCUGUAAGCCAAAACAUGCAAAAUUGAAUGCAAGAAUAAAUGAAUCUGAUAUGGUAUGAAAACCUAUGAAUAUAAAUAAAACAUUUUCUAUUUAUCACCAUACUGAUUACUCAUUAUUCAUUGUUUCGGUUUUAUCAACUUUAUACUUGAAUUAAAACACUAGGUGUCCCAUGCUACAAGCAUGAACAUUAUGUUUUCUAAACAAUAGCUUUGCCAUACACCAAGUAUGAACUCUAUGUUUGUCUAUGAUCCUUUUCUUUGUGAACCAGAUCAAUUGAACAUAAUUUCAAUUAUCCUCUUUUCACACUCCCACUUCCUUGUCUUAAAUGUAAGAAUUCCAAAUUCCUAUCAUUUAUCGAAAUCUGUUAGAUUUAAACUUAUAUGCACUACCCUCUUGUAAUGAACAUGUACAAAGUCACAAAGACUUGUCAAAAAUCAUUAUAGGGUAUUACAAUGAAGGUCUACUCCAUGGAAACAAAGUCAGGGUAUUCCAAUGAAGGUCUACUCCAUGGAAACAAAGUCUUAUGUUCAAAGUAUUCAUUGCUUUGAACAUUCUUCUUGCAUUAAGUUUCCUAAUCUUACACAGAUAACUUCCACCUUCCCACAUUCCCAUUUUGACUAUCACUUCUGAACAAGAGUUGACUCUUUUCAGAAUAUGUCAAUAUGGUCCUUCCAAAAUUAACAACAUACUUCCAACUGUCCCUGAGCAACCAAUCUUUGGUAAACCUUAGAUUCUCCUCGACGAUUGCUUAAUCCUUUUAGUCAUAUAUAGUUCUAGACCUUUUCCCUUCUUAAUGCCACAGGCAUUUGGAAAUUUUUAGAAAGGAUGAAUAUACACAUGUAAUCGAUCCUAUAUCUGAAGCAUAUGGGACACGGUUCAUGAUGUCUCACAUAAAGACUAAACUAGUCUUUUGUUAUAAUAUUUCCAUUUCAAUUUGCCAAGUUCUCAUAAUUCAGAUUAUGAAAAAGGAUGUCGUAAUCAUAAUCGAAUUUUAGAACGCAAAUAAUGGACCCAUAUAUAAAAUUUUAUUAUGUUGAGCCAUUCCAACAUAACAUUCAUAUAUAUGCUUGACUAAAUUUGAUUAAAAUCUCACGAUCUAAGCUUAUAGAUUUGAGAACAACUAUAAUUUCCUCUCCCUUAGUUAUAGCAAAACAACUUUUUUCCCAAUUGAAACCUUUUGUUUUCUAUAAUUAACAUUGCUAACUUGCAACCUUUAUCAUAAUUAUCAUGCUCCCACUAACAUGAUGAUUAUUAGCAUAACACUUAUGCUCCCACUAGCUUUGACAUGUACUCAGAAAUCAGUUGAACUUCUAAAAAAAAACAAUACUUUAUUGAUGUUCUUACCAAAUUUCAGAUUUAUGAUACUUGAUUACUUUGAUAAAACUUUAUCAAUAUCAUACACCUUAUCUUAGAUAGCUCACAGGUGUGUCUAAACAAUUUUUAGGAACUAUGAAAAAGGAUGUCGUAAUCAUAUUAUGGAUUGUUUAGACCUUUGCCACUUCUCACAAGUCCACGUUAGUGUGCCGGUUAACCACACAUGCUCCACUAACGACUUUGAGAAUGCAAAUAUCACAAUUGCUAUCUAGCUAAAAUCUACUUAGUGAAAGUGUUUCCUCACCAUCAUUUUCAUGAAUCGGAGAGAAACCUUAUGACACUUAGAUUUAAUGGUGUAUGUGUUCUUAUCCAUGUGAAUUGUCAAAACCAUAGUCACAAGACAAGGAUAAUGACAAAUCCAAACUCAUAUGGAUUGAACUCAAUCUUAAUUUCUUGCCAUCUGGCAGCUCAAGGGCCUGCCAUUGCUUCCAAGUUCUUGUGCAGCCAAUUGAGAGCUCUAAGAAAUCAUAUGCAAAGCCAACUUUAAUUGGAAUGGGCACAGAAUAUGUCAACACGAUAGGUUAUAAACCUCAAGUCGUGUGCUAGUGAAGAACUUCAGUUUUUAUUCUGGAUUAGUUCUUGAUACUUUCUAGACCUUUAAGACUCCCACUAUCCUUNCCUCUUGACAUAUAAGACUCCCUUGUCAAACAUCCAAGAGAUAGUGCGGAUUCUAAUCAAGACAAACACUUCACACAAUUGGCCUUAGUUGGUCUUUGUUUUAUCCAAAACAUCACAACUUACCAAUUUCAAAUGUACAGGAGUAGAAAACUUUUACUCUUACAUUUGACAAGUGUUUUAAACCUUCUUUAAGACAUGUCAUUCAAGUUAAAAUCUUAGAGUAUAACUCUAAGAAUUGUUUUUGGAACGAAGUAUGAAUCAUCUUCUUGAUUUAACCACUUCAACAAUUCAUAGCUCCUCUUCUUAUCUAUCAAAAUACACUUAGAGGAUGAAUUAUGAUAAGGUCUCUUAAUCAUUAACAUGAUCAUAUAACAUGAUACUAAAGUACUCUCCUAUCUUUUCAGAUUUGAGAAACUUUUAUCCUUCUGCCUAAUUUGAUUCUUCUUAUUCGUUCUAUCAUACCUUCAAAUUUUUUUCAAUGUUUAAGAAUUAUACUUAAGCUUGUAAGUAUAAUCAUAUUUACUUCACCUUAGUAAAUCAUGACGAAUAGUCAUAUCCAUCUUUUGUGGUGGACUUUGACAAGUGCACAAGAAAGUGUACUUGAUCCCUUAGUCCUUCUGUUGAGUCAUAUAUACAUGUGAACACGGAACUAGUCUUAAUUUUCCAAAGUUGAAAAUUCUCACACAUCACACUCAACACCUUGUAUGAUUCCAAGUUUCGGUCCAAUUGAAACUUGGGUGAUGAGAAUAUUUCCUUAUUUGGUAAAUUUAGACACUACCACAAAUGAAAGAAUCAAAUUCAUAUUUCCAAUAUUGCUAUAAACAUACAAACAUCAAGUUUUCAUGAAUGUCAUUGUAAGGAGAUAAAAAUAAAGUAAAACAAACUUCUAUUUAUUUUAAAAUACGGAAAAAACUUUUUUCCUUACAAUGUAACUUGAAAUGAAAACUAUGUUAUUACAUGUUUCCUAGCAAUCUAUCAUAACUCCUAAGAAGUAGCUGAAGAAUCUGAUCUUCCAUCAAGCGAUAGAAAUCCAUCUUCGCGGUCAGCUUCAACAUACUCUUUCUUUAAGUUUCCUUCAUUUUUCCUUUGAUUCUUAAAUCAUGUGACCCAGUCACAUCAUGUAAUAAGAAUACCAGAAUAGAAACUUAAUAGAGUUUGAUAGUGGAUUUUAUCUGAAGUAGGGUCAAACUUAUUGACUUUAACAUCCUUAGGUAAAAUUGGCAGCUUCGCAACUAAUGCCCCUUCCUUUGGCAAUAUAAACAUAUGGACCCUUUGGUAAUGGUAUCGGUACUGUCACAGACUUAGCUUUUGUCUUUACCAUUUGGUCAACCGAGUUGACUAUGGCCGAUCCCUUUCCAUUGGGAAGAGAAUACUUUUUCUGGAUUUCUAGUGUUUUCAUUAUCAAUGUCCAUAAAGUUUUAGGAAGUUGAUCUUAGCAUAUAGAUAAGAUCAUUAAGGGUCUUGUCAUAGAUUGUUUCAUAGGAGUCCCAAAGGAACUCACUAUGUGACUUAGAAAGUGACUGAACCACCAAUUUUCUCAAGACUUUGACACCCAACUCUCCCAGCUUGUCAGUAUGUGAGUUCAUCUCCAAGAUGUAAGCACACCUCGACCUUGCCUUUCCAAUAGGGCUUGAGUGACCUUGAACGAGUGGGUUAGGGAGAAUAAUUGGAUGAGGUGGAGGAAGUAAAGUUCCAAGAGAUUUUGGAGGAUCAUAGAUGUCUAAACUAGACAUCUUUUCGGAGAUAUUCAAGAUAGUUGAUUUAUGUCCUUAAUAUAACACCCAAUAUGAAAUAUUAUGGCUAGGACGCGACAAACUAUUUUAUAACUUGGAAGAUGGAUUUCGUAAUCCAAGCUAUAAAAUAUUUGAAGGUAGGUGAAUGACGAUUCACCAAUUUCCACCAAGAUAAACGAAAUGUAUUAUUAGGUUUUAAUUGGUUUUGAAACUCCUAGAUCUUUUGAGAUUCAUUGAACUGUUCAAUGGCAUGUUUCAAUCUCGAGUGUGCCCUUCAGGUUUUGUGACUGGGAUGCCGAGGAUCACAAAACAAGGUGUGAAGUAACCAUGCAAAUUACUUGGUACCCUUAAGUGUUUACCCCUCAAUCGAUGUGCCGGUUAACCACACACGCUCCAUCGAUACUAUGAUAAACAUUAAGUUACCCUUUGCCUACCUUGUUAAAUACGAGUUAGUGUGCCGGUUAACCACACACGCUCCACUAACCGACUUAAACAAAGUGCAAAGUGUAAUUUCAUGGAUUAGCACCUUAUUCACAUUUUCCUAAGUAACUAAGAUUGGGUAUUUAUAAAAGGUUUAGUUACUUAGUAUUUAUCAUUAAUACUUUUAAUGAAGGGAGAAUUUUAGUCCUGUCAAACCCGUUCGGCUAACGACCCUCCACCAGUCAAGCAAGCGGUGGGUGAGAGUGGACACCCAUUAAGUUGCCAUUUUAUAGGCAACAACCUUAUACCCACCUUAUAGACCGGCUUCGUGAAUGAGGCGUACUAGCGGUAAGACUGACUUUACUCUUAUACAUAUAUAUAUUAUUAACUUAUAAUAUUAUAAAGUAUAAGGGUUGAAUUUUAACUUUUAAAAUUCUAAGGGCUAACUUGGAAUUAAAGUAUUCAUAAGUGAAAACUUUACAAAUUCCAAAACUUGAGGGCAAGUUUUGAAACUAUUCAAAACUAAUUAAUUCCAUAACUUAUGUGUUUAAAGUAGUUUUAAUUAAAAAAAACUCUUCAAGUUCCAUAACUUGAGGACAAGUUAUGGAAGACUUUAAACUAAUAAAAGAAUGUAACUU
This 39127-nucleotide long non-coding RNA is filed under the name Lactuca sativa (garden lettuce). RNAcentral describes it as "long non-coding RNA (LSAT_LNC004352)". The record is from RNAcentral. Lineage: Eukaryota; Viridiplantae; Streptophyta; Magnoliopsida; Asterales; Asteraceae.